Molecule: unclassified non-coding RNA, 1019 nt
Filed under: Leishmania donovani
Lineage: Eukaryota; Euglenozoa; Kinetoplastea; Trypanosomatida; Trypanosomatidae
Description: gene:LdHU3.20.0220(CDS-product:hypothetical_prote in_conserved)
Source: RNAcentral
GCAUAGUCACACACAAGCAUAGAGCUACGGAGCACUACAUGCCGCGGAAGAGGAGUUCCUACGUCACAUGCACGGUCAACGGCACCGCGUGUCGGUCAGACGACGGCAUGUACGACGUGAAGGCACUGUACGGGCCGCACACGUUGUUGCUGCGCGCACCGACGACGGCACCAUCGUCGUCUUUUUUGUCGUCCGCUCCGUCACCAGCAGAGGCAUCCAGAAGACGGUCGGAGCCCUUGACGAGUUUCACCAUCUGCGCGGUGGACGCGCGUGGACGUUUUGUUGUGAAGCAGAGUGGCACCUACGAGGUUGGUGCAAUCGGAGCCGUUGAAAAGCAGGCUGAGGCUGAGGCUGAGGCUGAGGCUGAGGUGCAGGCGGCGACUCACGACGUGCAGCGCGUGCCAGAAGCGGCUUCGAAGACGGCGGGGGAGCGCCAAAGUGCAAUGAAGGAAGUGCGACGAGCCCCCAACAAGUACAGCAUGUUUUUAAGUAAGUUUUCGAAGGUGUUCAGCCUGAAGGGCUUUCAGGCAGCCGCCGCGGAGUGGAGGCGCUUUUCGGCGGAGUCGAAGAGGAGAGAGGAAGUAGAUGCUCUCAUCGCCGCGGUGGUCCGCUCCGGUCGUUACCCAAUGCGCCAGCCGAAGAGCUGAAUGAUCGCUGUUGCUGUGGUUUCUCGUGUGCGUGUGUGUGUGCAUGUGUGCUCGAGGUCGACCCACAAACUCGUAAGUGAUGCCACCUCACUCUCUGUUCCUGAUUAGGCGGUACGCAACGGGGCACUGUCGAAGGUCACACGCGCAAAAGGAGUGCGUCGCUCAUGCCCCCCCCCCUCCCCUCGCCUUUACUACACCCGUGAUGGCCCUCAAGCGAUUCCACCACCCCAACACGCUGCGUUGCCCUUUUGCCCACGUCUUCCUGCUUCUCUCUCUUUUCGCUCGUGGCGCCACGCACGCAUGCGAUGCGCAUGCUGAACGGCGCGCGCAUUCGACCGCCGUGAUGCUGUGAGGUGUCAACGCCCUUCGUGG